AACCCUAAUAACUAAACAUCAUUUCCUCUCUUUGAAAUACGAAAAAGAGCAGAAGAUAAUUUCAUCGUCAUUGUUAAAUGUAUGCUUAGACACAUGGAGUUCAAGGCAGUGUGUGUAUUUAAACUUGCUACCCAUGUAGCAGAUUCAUUGCCAAGGGAAUAAUGGUAUGACGAUUGGAUGUCAUCCUUCCAUACAAACACACUCAAACAGCAUCGAUUUGAAGCCUGGAAGGCAGUGGGUGCAGGGUGCAGUAGCAAUUGAUACACACAAUAGAGUAGAUUCAUUGCGCAGAUUCAACAUCAUCCUUACAUUCCUCAGCUUUAAUAUGAUAAAGUUCUUUUAGCAUAUUCUCCCCUGGUCUGCCUAGUGGUAAGACUGUAGCUUGUGAUAUGUGGGUUAGGCACGUGUCUGAACCUUGCUGAAGAAAGCCUGGUAUUUAAGUGGAGAAAGGGCAUGGGGUGAGCCCAUUAUCAAUCGCGUUUCAAACCGAGUAUCACUAGCCCUCUGACAUUUCUUGGUUUUCAAAAAACACAGAGUAUUUACUUUUUAUUCUGCAUUGAGAUCAGACCUGUAACUAGACUUCUUUAUCCAAGUGUUGUUCCAAGUGUUGUUUUUUGUCUCAUAGCUCCAUAAGGUGGCUGCUAAUAACCUACCAGCGUAAAUUGAGAAGGAGAAUGUUGUUUACUUGUGUGAUUUAAUAUGAUAAAGUUCUUUUAUCUGUAAGGAAUAGUUCUUUCUGUAUGUAUGGUCAUCACUCAUUUGUUAGUAAUUCUUGCCUCAGCUUUAAUAUAACAAAUGUUGCUACUAACCUAUUCCUUACAGUCUUUGAUUAUCUGUAAGGAAUAGGUCUUUAUGUAUGUAUGGUCAUCACUCAUUUGUUAGUAAUUCUUGCCUUCCAAGUUUCUAGAUAUUUGCAUUUUUAUGUGAGACGUUGAAUCUGAAACUUUUCCAGCUGAACUUUUCUGGGUUAUCUUACACCCCCUCCUCCUAUUUUCUAUAUGUAUG
RNAcentral lists this long non-coding RNA (1005 nucleotides) under Solanum lycopersicum (tomato). RNAcentral describes it as "partial TCONS_00101227". The record is from RNAcentral. Lineage: Eukaryota; Viridiplantae; Streptophyta; Magnoliopsida; Solanales; Solanaceae.